UCUCUUCCUUCUCAAGACUGCCGACCAGCUCUCUCUCUCUCUCUUAAGCUCCAUUGUUCUUCAUUUUACUUCACAAAUCCUACUCAAACCACCACCAAAACAUCUCCAAAUUCAACCAAACUUGCACCAUACUUAGCUUAACACUAGGAGAUCAUUUUGAGCUGCAAAAAGGGUGCUGGAUAUCACGGUUUCUUGGAGCAUUUCAAGGGCCAAAAAUUCUGAUCCAGUACAUUAAGAAGGUGCACACGAAGACCUUCAAGAGGAUCUUACAGUGGACACUUAAACCUCCAGAAAUAAUUCUUAUUGAAUUGCUCGGACCGAAUUUCGGAGAAGUAUGGAGAAACCCUUCGUUGUUCUUUUGUUUAGAAUUUCUGCUAUAUUUUGGCUAUGCCCUGGUUUGGGUUGUACUUUUGGAAUUGAAAUGUAAAAAAAUUUGGGCCCUGGCGUGUAUUUAGAAUUUAAGUCGUAUUAUGAUUACCCGAUGUACUGGUUACACGUUAAGUGACUUGUUAAGUUUGAACGCUUCCGCAUUAUUUGUAUUCAUGUUGCUCUCUUCGAUAUGUUCGGUUUGGUUUUAAGUUGAAUGGAAUUGCUUGAGUCCUGGCGAGAGUUGGGCAGGUGUCCCGCGAAUACCCUUUGGUUCGCCUUAGGGAGAUGUGGAGGCGUCAUAGCUUCUACCAAAUACCAAAUACCAACAUUUGAACAAUGGGAAGAAUUUGAUUCAGAUUUUACACAGGUUUGUACUUACUAUUCUGACUUUGAAUGUCCUAAUUUGACACCAUUUUCUUUCUUCUUUUUUUUUUGUUUUUGUUUUUGCAUCUUUUCAAUUGUCCGAUUGGAUCUUUUCAGUUUCAACAACAUGAUUUUGAUUUGUCUACCUCUUUAUAACGUUGAUUUGUCUAAAUAUCAUCAAGUGAAAUUUGCAGUUACCAAAUACAGAGUGCUUCAACUCACAUAGAUUAUUAUUU
Long non-coding RNA from Coffea arabica (coffee), 968 nucleotides. RefSeq lists it as uncharacterized. The record is from RefSeq and is a predicted model, not a curated record. NCBI's taxonomy places the organism in Eukaryota, Viridiplantae, Streptophyta, Magnoliopsida, Gentianales, Rubiaceae.